AACGAACGCCGGCGGCAUGCCUAACACAUGCAAGUCGAACGAGACCUUCGGGUCUAGUGGCGCACGGGUGCGUAACGCGUGGGAAUCUACCCUUGGGUUCGGAAUAACAGUUAGAAAUGACUGCUAAUACCGGAUGAUGACGUAAGUCCAAAGAUUUAUCGCCCAAGGAUGAGCCCGCGUAAGAUUAGCUUGUUGGUGGGGUAAUGGCCUACCAAGGCGACGAUCUUUAGCUGGUCUUAGAGGAUGAUCAGACACACUGGGACUGAGACACGGGCAAGACUCCUACGGGAGGCAGCAGUGGGGAAUAUUGGACAAUGGGCGAAAGCCUGAUCCAGCAAUGCCGCGUGAGUGAUGAAGGCCUUAGGGUUGUAAAGCUCUUUUACCAGGGAGGAUAAUGACAGUACCGGGAGAAUAAGCUCCGGCUAACUCCGUGCCAGCCGCCGCAGUAA
Molecule: ribosomal RNA, 449 nt
Filed under: uncultured bacterium
Lineage: Bacteria
Description: partial 16S ribosomal RNA
Rfam family: Bacterial small subunit ribosomal RNA
Source: RNAcentral